CAAGCGAAAGCAUUAAGUAUUCCACCUGGGGAGUACGCCGGCAACGGUGAAACUCAAAGGAAUUGACGGGGGCCCGCACAAGCGGAGGAACAUGUGGUUUAAUUCGAUGAUACGCGAGGAACCUUACCCGGGCUUAAAUUGCACCUGAAUAAUGUGGAAACAUGUUAGCCGUAAGGCAGGUGUGAAGGUGCUGCAUGGUUGUCGUCAGCUCGUGCCGUGAGGUGUCGGCUUAAGUGCCAUAACGAGCGCAACCCUUAUCUUCAGUUACUAACAGGUCAUGCUGAGGACUCUGGAGAGACUGCCGUCGUAAGAUGUGAGGAAGGUGGGGAUGACGUCAAAUCAGCACGGCCCUUACGUCCGGGGCUACACACGUGUUACAAUGGGAGGUACAGAAGGCCGCUACCUGGCGACAGGAUGCCAAUCCCCAAAACCUCUCUCAGUUCGGAUCGAAGUCUGCAACCCGACUUCGUGAAGCUGGAUUCGCUAGUAAUCGCGCAUCAGCCAUGGCGCGGUGAAUACGUUCCCGGGCCUUGCACUCACCGCCCGUC
Molecule: ribosomal RNA, 548 nt
Filed under: uncultured bacterium
Lineage: Bacteria
Description: bacterial SSU rRNA
Rfam family: Bacterial small subunit ribosomal RNA
Source: RNAcentral